AUAAAUCCAAGUUUCAAGGUGUAGUACUUGUGACUCAAAGACUUUUCCUACACACUAAAGACUUUACAUCACUUCUCAACCACUUUCCCAUGAAACAAGGGUCCAUGUUUUAAGGAAAAGUACUAUAAAAGUCAAGUCUUGAAAACUUGAAUUUGAAAAGGCUCCAAGACUUGUUUGAAUUUCCCUCCUUAAAACAAAUU
RNAcentral lists this long non-coding RNA (200 nucleotides) under Capsicum annuum. RNAcentral describes it as "long non-coding RNA (CANN_LNC013398)". The record is from RNAcentral. Lineage: Eukaryota; Viridiplantae; Streptophyta; Magnoliopsida; Solanales; Solanaceae.